Molecule: transfer RNA, 73 nt
Filed under: Acropyga pallida
Lineage: Eukaryota; Metazoa; Arthropoda; Insecta; Hymenoptera; Formicidae
Description: tRNA-Thr
Source: RNAcentral
ACUAAUAUAGUUUAAAAUAAAACAUUAAUUUUGUAAAUUAAAAAUAUUUAUUUAAUCCAAUUAAUUAAUAGUA